CUACGGGUUGCUGCAGUGGGGAAUAUUGGACAAUGGGGGAAACCCUGAUCCAGCGACGCCGCGUGAGUGAAGAAGUAUUUCGGUAUGUAAAGCUCUAUCAGCAGGGAAGAAAAUGACGGUACCUGACUAAGAAGCCCCGGCUAACUACGUGCCAGCAGCCGCGGUAAUACGUAGGGGGCAAGCGUUAUCCGGAUUUACUGGGUGUAAAGGGAGCGUAGACGGUAAGGCAAGUCUGAAGUGAAAUCCCGGGGCUCAACCCCGGAACUGCUUUGGAAACUGUCAGACUAGAGUGCAGGAGGGGUAAGUGGAAUUCCUAGUGUAGCGGUGAAAUGCGUAGAUAUUAGGAGGAACACCGGUGGCGAAGGCGGCUUACUGGACUGUAACUGACGUUGAGGCUCGAAGGCGUGGGGAGCAAACAGGAUUAGAUACCCGCGUAGUC
Molecule: ribosomal RNA, 439 nt
Filed under: uncultured bacterium
Lineage: Bacteria
Description: partial 16S ribosomal RNA
Rfam family: Bacterial small subunit ribosomal RNA
Source: RNAcentral